GCCUCCUCCUCCUCCUCCUUCCCUUUCUGAUCCUCCCUCUCUUCCGCCCACACGCAGCACCCACGUUCACGAUUCCGCUACGUUUCGACUCACCAGUCUUGUAUAAACGUUCCUUGAUGGUGGUGUGAGAGGCAGAUAAUGAGGGGUGGAGGAAAAAAAAAAAGCUUAGGAGAUAGAGGUAUUAAGGGAGUGAAUGAGAAAGGUCGAGGUACUGAGGGAGUGAAUGAGAAAGGUCGAGGUACUGAGGGAGUGAAUGAGAAAGGUCGAGGUACUGAGGGAGUGAAUGAGAAAGGUCGAGGUACUGAGGGAGUGAAUGAGAAAGGUCGAGGUACUGAGGGAGUGAAUGAGAAAGGUCGAGGUACUGAGGGAGUGAAUGAGAAAGGUCGAGGUACUGAGGGAGUGAAUGAGAAAGGUCGAGGUACUGAGGGAGUGAAUGAGAAAGGUCGAGGUACUGAGGGAGUGAAUGAAAAAGGUCGAGGUACUGAGGGAGUGAAUGAGAAAGGUCGAGGUACUGAGGGAGUGAAUGAGAAAGGUCGAGGUACUGAGGGAGUGAAUGAGAAAGGUCGAGGUACUGAGGGAGUGAAUGAGAAAGGUCGAGGUACUGAGGGAGUGAAUGAGAAAGGUCGAGGUACUGAGGGAGUGAAUGAGAAAGGUCGAGGUACUGAGGGAGU
Molecule: long non-coding RNA, 671 nt
Organism: Eriocheir sinensis (Chinese mitten crab)
Lineage: Eukaryota; Metazoa; Arthropoda; Malacostraca; Decapoda; Varunidae
Exons: 4
Source: RefSeq, a predicted model, not a curated record